Long non-coding RNA from Lagopus leucura (white-tailed ptarmigan), 687 nucleotides. RefSeq lists it as uncharacterized. Lineage: Eukaryota; Metazoa; Chordata; Aves; Galliformes; Phasianidae. The transcript is spliced from 3 exons. The record is from RefSeq and is a predicted model, not a curated record.
CGACUGCAUGGAGAUGCGUGGCUCUUCACGGGAACAGCAAGGAACCAGAAUCUGCAUUUCCUGGAAUGCCCCGGAACCUCGCUUUGCUGGCUGGUAAUUGUCUGCCCAGCAGGUGGCAGCAGAGCUGCGUUGCUCCUGAGCACUUUAAGGACAGCACGGAGAUGCGCGGCUCUUCACGGCAACAGCAGAAACUGGAAUCUGCAUUUCCUGGAACGCCCUGGAACCCCACUUUGCUGGCUGGUAAUUGUCUGCCCAGCAGGUGAAGAUGCCUUUGACGCUUCCAGUCGAUGACUUCCCCCCAGUGAUGCCAUUGGCUUUCCUGGCCUCCCACAGUCACCGCCAGCUCAGUUCAGUUGAGCCGUUACCCAAAUCCCCACUCCGUUCCCUUUCCAUGAUCUUCCUGUCACUCUGCCACAAGCCCCCACCAAGGUCAUGGCAGGCAACGUGUGGGAUGCAGCACUCGGUCUCAUUGCAGUUCAUCCCAUCAGCUUCAGCCCAGCGAUCCAACCCACCCGCACCCUUCCUGAGGGCCCUUCUGCUCCCAGGCCAAUCAACGCUUCCUUCUGAUGCCAUCUGCGUUCCUUCCUGGCCACUUUCAGACUCAUGCCCCUUUGUGGCCAUUUUGAGAGUUGCGCUGAUUUCAGCGUCUGCAUUCAAUUGACUUCAACCAAAUUGGCUUUAGCUUUA